CUACCUAGCCACAUGUCACUCAUGCAACCUGCCUUGAAAACUCGCCCCCAGCCACAACCGUUAGAUCGCCACUCUUUUAAUCUUCGUCUUUAAAUCCUUACCAGUAGCAUUUCCUGAGUCUUCACAAAUCCUUACAGCUUUGACUUCGAGUUCUUCGACUCAUUGGGCGUUGGCAGACUCAGACUGAGGAGUUCAUCAAAUUUAUGUGGUUGAUGGAGCAACGGUCCUGAGAAUUCAAUGUGGCCACCUCUGCUUUUGCCACCCUAACGAAUUGUUAGAAGAGCAAUGAGAUUCUUCAGUCCAACACAUGAAGAAAAUUAAGAAAUGAUAGAAAACACAUGUCAGUUGAGUUCAAUUACAGCAUUGGAUUUCGGGCUCAAUGCAUCUGUUUCUCCUAUUUGACUAAAUACUGGUGAUACGUCAGGAGAAUGGUAUGUCUCAGACGAGUCGAAAGAAUCCGGCCGGUCAAGGUGGCGUUGCUGCCUCUUCAUUGCAAACUUGGCACUCUCGAUGGAAUUGGCAACAGCCCUGCAUAAAAGAUCAUUCUCUUUUUUGGUUACGUAAGAUGAUUUUGCAAAGUAUGGAUCUAAUGCACUGAUUUUGCUCUUUGAUCCGUCUGAUAUUGUGGAUGUAGCGUCCUCCUUUCGCCUUUUUGCCCACGUAAACCCGGUUGAUCCUGAGACUUGUGCCGGGCCUGAAUAUCCACUGUCCCCUUGAGAAGGAUUUAUCAUUUGGGAAGUCUCUGACAUUGUAUCAAGUGAUGGCUUUAGUGCCUCUCCACGCACAAAAACACCUCUUCGUUUGGGAAUAUGUGCAUCACUGCCAUUGCUUCUCUGAGCAAGUUGAGCAUGAUCUUGCGUUUCCUGCAUAAAAAAGGACCAACAAAAGUGGUUAAAGAAACCAUCUUUCUUCCUUCAACUACACACCCACGUAGAGAAAGAGAGAGAUAGACCUCUUUUGAUGCUAAUUUACUGUUACUGUUUGCUUCUUGCAAAGUUUUCCGGACUCUUCUAGGCUUUCUUGAAGCUGCAGGCUCUCGCAAUCUAGCACCAGCCUUUUUCCUGGGGCAUACUUUGGCAAGCUUGAUGGCUCACAUGCAAAGGGCUUUGUGUUGAAAUACUGAAAAACAGAAGCAGGACGUAGACAUCAAAUCAGAAAGCCAAAAAACAUUACGGGUUUUAUCUGCAACAAGCAUGCACCACAAGAUGAUAUGAUAAAAAUGUGGUAGAAUCACAACUAAUCCCAACAAAAAGAUCUUCAAACAGAUUGUUGAACUUUGAAUUAAUAUAAGUUGUUACCUCAGAC
This is a long non-coding RNA of Alnus glutinosa, 1305 nucleotides long. RefSeq lists it as uncharacterized. Lineage: Eukaryota; Viridiplantae; Streptophyta; Magnoliopsida; Fagales; Betulaceae. The transcript is spliced from 3 exons. The record is from RefSeq and is a predicted model, not a curated record.